Molecule: ribosomal RNA, 275 nt
Filed under: uncultured bacterium
Lineage: Bacteria
Description: partial 16S ribosomal RNA
Rfam family: Bacterial small subunit ribosomal RNA
Source: RNAcentral
CCUACGGGUGGCUGCAGUUAGGAAUAUUGGACAAUGGGCGCAAGCCUGAUCCAGCCAUGCCGCGUGAGUGAUGAAGGCCUUCGGGUUGUAAAACUCUUUAGCCGAUGAUUAUAAUGACUGUAGUCGGAAAAUAAGCCCCGGCUAACUUCGUGCCAGCAGCCGCGGUAAUACGAAGGGGGCGAGCGUUAUUCGGAAUCACUGGGCGUAAAGCGUGCGUAGGCGGUUUUGUAAGUUGGAAGUGAAAGCCCAGGGCUUAACCUUGGAAUUGCUUUCAA